Molecule: ribosomal RNA, 253 nt
Filed under: uncultured bacterium
Lineage: Bacteria
Description: partial 16S ribosomal RNA
Rfam family: Bacterial small subunit ribosomal RNA
Source: RNAcentral
UACGUAGGUAGCGAGCGUUGUUCGGAGUUACUGGGCGUAAAGGGUGUGUAGGCGGUUGUUUAAGUUUGGUGUGAAAUCUCCCGGCUCAACCGGGAGGGUGCGCCGAAUACUGAAUGACUCGAGUGCGGGAGAGGAGAGUGGAAUUCCUGGUGUAGCGGUGAAAUGCGUAGAUAUCAGGAAGAACACCAAUGGCGAAGGCAGCUCUCUGGGACGGUACUGACGCUGAGACGCGAAAGCGUGGGGAGCGAACAGG